CUUGGGAGGGUGGGUGCUAGUAGUCCUCUCCUGAACGUUUGCCCAGAAGGUUGUUAAUUGCUGUACAAAAUUUCUCCUGAAGUUUAGAAGGUGUUGGUAAUUGGUUGAAAGAUAUUAAUUUAUUUUCCAGGGUGAGAUGUCUUCCAAGAUGAACAGCAAGUCGACGACAAGUUUGUGUUGAAAGUUACAAUGCUUUAAAGGACAUAUGAUCUGCUGUGCUUUUCAAAAUCCCCAAAUAGGUAAUUGCCUCCCAGUGAAGGUAGCUGAGCUUCAAGACCUAAUUUCUCCCAG
This is a long non-coding RNA of Parus major (Great Tit), 291 nucleotides long. RefSeq lists it as uncharacterized. The record is from RefSeq and is a predicted model, not a curated record. The transcript has 3 exons. NCBI's taxonomy places the organism in Eukaryota, Metazoa, Chordata, Aves, Passeriformes, Paridae.